RNAcentral lists this ribosomal RNA (995 nucleotides) under uncultured bacterium. RNAcentral describes it as "bacterial SSU rRNA". It matches the Rfam family "Bacterial small subunit ribosomal RNA", at positions 356 to 1376 of the family's 1533-position model. The record is from RNAcentral.
GGGGAAUAUUGCACAAUGGGGGAAACCCUGAUGCAGCGACGCCGCGUGGAGGAAGAAGGUCUUCGGAUUGUAAACUCCUGUUGUUGAGGAAGAUAAUGACGGUACUCAACAAGGAAGUGACGGCUAACUACGUGCCAGCAGCCGCGGUAAAACGUAGGUCACAAGCGUUGUCCGGAAUUACUGGGUGUAAAGGGAGCGCAGGCGGGCGAUCAAGUUGGAAGUGAAAUCCAUGGGCUCAACCCAUGAACUGCUUUCAAAACUGAUUGUCUUGAGUAGUGCAGAGGUAGGCGGAAUUCCCGGUGUAGCGGUGGAAUGCGUAGAUAUCGGGAGGAACACCAGUGGCGAAGGCGGCCUACUGGGCACCAACUGACGCUGAGGCUCGAAAGUGUGGGUAGCAAACAGGAUUAGAUACCCUGGUAGUCCACACCGUAAACGAUGAUUACUAGGUGUUGGAGGAUUGACCCCUUCAGUGCCGCAGUUAACACAAUAAGUAAUCCACCUGGGGAGUACGACCGCAAGGUUGAAACUCAAAGGAAUUGACGGGGGCCCGCACAAGCAGUGGAGUAUGUGGUUUAAUUCGACGCAACGCGACGAACCUUACCAAGUCUUGACAUCCUGCGACGAUGCUAGAAAUAGUAUUUUCCUUCGGGACGCAGAGACAGGUGGUGCAUGGUUGUCGUCAGCUCGUGUCGUGAGAUGUUGGGUUAAGUCCCGCAACGAGCGCAACCCUUAUGGUCAGUUACUACGCAAGAGGACUCUGGCCAGACUGCCGUUGACAAAACGGAGGAAGGUGGGGAUGACGUCAAAUCAUCAUGCCCUUUAUGACUUGGGCUACACACGUACUACAAUGGCGUUAAACAAAGAGAAGCAAGACCGCGAGGUGGAGCAAAACUCAGAAACAACGUCCCAGUUCGGACUGCAGGCUGCAACUCGCCUGCACGAAGUCGGAAUUGCUAGUAAUCGCAGAUCAGCAUGCUGCGGUGAAUACGUUCCCG